GUCCUAGCCGUAACGGUGGGCACUAGGUGUUGGAGGCAUCGACCCCUCCAGUGCCGCAGCUAACGCAUUAAGUGCCCGCCUGGGAGUACGGCCGCAAGGUUGAACUCAAGGAAUUGACGGGCCCGCACAAGCGGUGGAGCAUGUGGUUUAAUUCGACGCAACGCGAAGAACCUUACCCAGACUUGACAUGCACGAGACCGGCGUUGAAAGACGCCUUUCCUUCGGGACUCGUGCACAGAUGCUGCAUGGCUGUCGU
This 256-nucleotide ribosomal RNA is filed under the name uncultured bacterium. RNAcentral's name for it is "partial 16S ribosomal RNA". It matches the Rfam family "Bacterial small subunit ribosomal RNA", at positions 793 to 1055 of the family's 1533-position model. The record is from RNAcentral.